Molecule: ribosomal RNA, 489 nt
Filed under: uncultured bacterium
Lineage: Bacteria
Description: partial 16S ribosomal RNA
Rfam family: Bacterial small subunit ribosomal RNA
Source: RNAcentral
UUGAACGCUGGCGGCAGGCCUAACACAUGCAAGUCGAACGGUAACAGGAAGCAGCUUGCUGCUUUGCUGACGAGUGGCGGACGGGUGAGUAAUGUCUGGGAAACUGCCUGAUGGAGGGGGAUAACUACUGGAAACGGUAGCUAAUACCGCAUAACGUCGCAAGACCAAAGAGGGGGACCUUCGGGCCUCUUGCCAUCGGAUGUGCCCAGAUGGGAUUAGCUAGUAGGUGGGGUAAAGGCUCACCUAGGCGACGAUCCCUAGCUGGUCUGAGAGGAUGACCAGCCACACUGGAACUGAGACACGGUCCAGACUCCUACGGGAGGCAGCAGUGGGGAAUAUUGCACAAAGGGCGCAAGCCUGAUGCAGCCAUGCCGCGUGUAUGAAGAAGGCCUUCGGGUUGUAAAGUACUUUCAGCGGGGAGGAAGGGAGUAAAGUUAAUACCUUUGCUCAUUGACGUUACCCGCAGAAGAAGCACCGGCUAACUCCGUG